GAGCGACUACGAAGAAGAAAAUCUCUAAUAUAUAGAUCGAAUUGUUUCCUUAACUAAAUAGGAACAGAUGCUUUAAAGAAUUAGGCCACUAGAAUUUAAAAAAAAAAGCAAAAAACUUUUGACUAAAAACAUACUUUAGACUCUAAGGUAUAUUAUUUUUAAUACUCUAAGGUUUAGAAUAUUAAAAAUAGUAUGCAAGUGAUCCCAAUACAAAAAAAAUAUUUUAAUAAUGUUUAUGAGGCUGUAUUGCUGAGCGCCUCGGAGCGCGUUCAAGCAAUCUCUCACUGACGAACAAGGCAAAACAAGCUCAGAGACUCUAAAUCACUACGGAAAAAAAGAGGAGAACAAAAAUGUCGAUACAGAGAACAACUAUAUGGUGCUAGAAUAGCAGAUUAAUGGUCAAAAGUUUUAAAAGAAACCUUUUCGCUCGUAGGAUUUGUAAAAAAUAAUGACUAUGCUACUGGACGCCUAUCAUCGACAUUUUAUAUACAUAUAAAGAUAAACAAUCAAGUGGUUAACUUAAAUUUUCUUUUUUGCAUUACUUAUGUUCAUAAAUAAUUGUCAAAAUUAGGCUGUUUUUUGUGCGUUAUAGUGGCCUAAUCCCUUAAGAAAAAAAAGAAGUAGGUUAGAUGAAAAGGUUACGUAGCAUAAAAGGAUACGAUGAGAAGAGGUCCGAUUGCAGUCUUAUCUAUUUAGUGUAAAACAGAUUUUUCUAGUCGAGCAUGUCCAGGAUCAAACAGCGAUAAUUCUUUCGUCUUUUACGGAUUCUAGUUUUUUGAUAUGAUAAAUUAAUUUUUAUCUUAUUAAUUUAGAUUUUUUAUUAUAUGUGCAUAGAAAGUCGUCCAUUAUGCGUCUCUUUUUCAGUUGAAAAAUUGCCAUUUCUCCACUGAACAGUUAUCUCACACAAAUAAUUCAUUGUUUCUGUCUUGCCAAUAAAUUGCAAUAAAAUAAUACAUUGUCACACA
Monomorium pharaonis (pharaoh ant) is the source of this 965-nucleotide long non-coding RNA. RefSeq lists it as uncharacterized. Lineage: Eukaryota; Metazoa; Arthropoda; Insecta; Hymenoptera; Formicidae. The transcript is spliced from 2 exons. The record is from RefSeq and is a predicted model, not a curated record.